GUCUGGAUAGCUCAGCUGGUUAGUGUGUGGUUCUGAUAAUGCCAGGCUUGCAGGUUCGAUCCCCAUAUGGGGAUU
Molecule: non-coding RNA, 75 nt
Organism: Podarcis lilfordi (Lilford's wall lizard)
Lineage: Eukaryota; Metazoa; Chordata; Lepidosauria; Squamata; Lacertidae
Source: the annotation of a GenBank genome assembly